Long non-coding RNA from Mytilus californianus (California mussel), 4888 nucleotides. RefSeq lists it as uncharacterized. Lineage: Eukaryota; Metazoa; Mollusca; Bivalvia; Mytilida; Mytilidae. The transcript has 3 exons. The record is from RefSeq and is a predicted model, not a curated record.
UUCUGAAUUCAAACCAAAAUAUAAGGCUGCGGACAUUAGGUCGCAAUUCCAUAGCCGAGUCAGUAUAACAGUUAUAGCAGUCAGCUGGUGGAGUCAUAAAUUUGAAAGAAUGUUGCGAUCGCUGAAAUUUCCUUUGGUAAUUGAUUGCUGUCUCAGUGUUGUUUAUCACAUAUAUUUAUAGAUAAAGAGUGGAACUUUACGAAAAUGCCUAAAGGAUUACAGAAAGGGAUUAUAGCUUUGGUGAUCACGUCAUUUUUGUUUGCAAUUGAAAACAUUGUAUUAACUGUAAAAUAUCUUAAGGAAAAUGAUACCAUUGGUCUGGCUUGUGUUCAGAUUGUAAUUACUUGCUUAUUCAUGGUUUUACUUAUAUUUUUCUUUGCCUAUAUUAUUCACACCCGUAAAACUGGGAGGAAAGCAACAUGUGUUCUUGUAUGCACUGCUUCAAUGUGUAUAUUUUCUGUCUUAAUGUUUGCAUUGGGUAUUACUUUAGAUAGAAUAACAUUUGGAUGAUAUCGUUUUCAUUUGAUUGACACUUGAACAGACACACAUAUAAUCAUGUUCAAGCAUUAAUAAUAUAUAAUAUUAAAGCUUUUGUCUUUUGUCACACGGCGAAUAUUUAAGUAUUGUCUGCGUUAACUAUGUAGCAUCUUUCAUUUAUUUACACUUACCAUCAUGUAUUUUAAUAUUACUUAAAAAGUGUAUCUUUUAAUGUCACAAAGUGAUGUUAUUAUAAUAUACAUUUAUUUCGAUUGAAAUUUUCUUCCACAAAUUGAUCGUGGAGAAAGUGUCGAAGUUUGUUAAACGGGUUAGAUACUACGUUCUCUGUAUGAAUCACCAGACUUUAAAUCAAUAUUUUAUAUUUUAAAAACAAUGUUUACUUUUAAUUAAGAAAAAAAAUAGAAUUGUUACUACACCAAUCUGAUUAAAAUACAAAUCCGACGAGUAGAAAGAUAUUAGCAUUCAAAGCAAGGAUACUAGAUUGUAUUUUAAUCGGAUUGUUAUUACAUCGUAAAAUGUAUAUGUUUGUAAACAAAAAGUAAAAUCACAAAAAUACUGCACUCCGAGGAAAAUUCAAUCGGAAAGUCCCUAAUCACAUGGCAAAAUCAAAUGACAAAACACAUCAAACGAAUGGACAACAACUGUCAUAUUCCUGACUUGGUACAGGCAUUUUCAAAUGUAGAAAAUGGUGGAUUGAACCUGGUUUUAUAGCGCUAAACCUCUCACUUGUACGACAGUCUUAUCAAAUUCCGUUAUAUUUUAGUUUAUAGUAGUUUAAUAUUGACCAGUUUCUUUAAGGAAAAAGUAAAAUAACAAAAAAUACCGAACUCCAAGUAAAAUUCAAAACGUAAAGACUUUACUUAUCAAAUUGCAAAAUCAAAAGCUCAAGCACAUCAAACGAAUGGAAAACAACUGUCAUAUUCCUAAUUUGGUACAGGCAUUUCCUUAUGUAGAUAAAGGUAGGUUAAACCUGGUUUUAUAGCUAGCUAAACCUCUCACUUGCAUGACAGUCGCAUAAAAUUCCAUUAUAUUGACAACAGUGUGUGAACAAAACAAACAGACAUAAUAGGUAAAAAUGUCAAAAAUAGGGAUACAGCAGUCAACAUUGUGCUGUUAUCUUAACCACUACUUUACCAUAGCGCAAUAACACAAUGGCGGGAUGUAUAAGUACCGAGCCAUGCCAAAAAAAUAUAUUACCAAAAACGCACCCACGUUUAUUUUGAUCUAUAAAGAGGUUAACUCCUAACUAUCCUACUGCCUGUCGAUACAUUAUUUUUGGCAUUGCACAAGUCAUGUCUUCUUUCACUGUCCAUGACGUUAAAAUACUAAAUCCCUGGGAUGUGUUUUAGUUGAUUUUAGUCUCUGAUGCAUGAUUUUUUUUUAUUAUUUAUUGUUUUUUGGCUUUUAACUAGCUGUCAGUAACUGCGAGUACUCUCAAAUCGUACUUUCUUGUUUGUUUGACCUGUUGAUACUAAUUGUAAUGCUUUUUUGUUGUUUAAUGUUAUUUAGGGUUAUAUCUGGUCUAUAUACCAGCUUUGAUAAGUGUUUGGUAUUACUAUAAAUUUUCACUUUUUCGUACUUUGAACAUUAAAAUUAUUUUUUUGUAAAAAUAUUUCCUUUCUCUAUUUGACCUGUACACGUAUACCUUACAACAAAAUUAUUUUCAUUUACCUGUGUUUAAAGUAUUUGCAAAUGGCUGAUAUUUUUGUUCUAGCAUAUUGUUUUUUUUUUAAAUUGUUUAACAUUUCACAGCGGUAUAACAUGUUACUUUAAUUAUUCUUCCCUUAGUUUAUUUAUUUUGUAUUUACAUUAUAUCAUAGAUCAAAUUUAUUUGUUCAGUAUAUGUUCACUGGUGUUAAUAUGUAUUUUGAUUGAGUUAAGCCGUUUCAAUUGAUAUUUUAUAGUGUGUCUUUCUAUGUUGUGAUGUUACACUUUUGUUUCAGAUAAGGGUGAAGGUUUGGUACCAUUGAAACGUUUAAACCCGCUGCAAAUGUUUGCACCUGUCCUAAGUCAGGAAUCUGAUGUUCAGUAGUUGUCAUUUGUUGAUGUGGUUCAUAAGUGUUUCUCGUUUCUCGUUUUUUAUAUAGAUUAGACCGUUGGUUUUCCCGUUUGAAUGGUUUACACUAGUAUUUUUUGGGGCCCUUUAUUACUUGCUGUUCGGUGUGAGCCAAGGCUCCGUGUUGAAGACCGUACUUUGACCUAUAAUGGUUUACUUUUAUAAAUUUUGACUUGGAUGGAGAGUUGUCUCAUUGGCACUCAUACCACAUCUUCUUACAUCUAUAAACAGUAAAGGUUGAUAUUCUACAGAAACAUAUAAAAGAACACUUUAACACGUAAUUAAGAUGAUAACAACGUCAGUAACUAGAAUCUAUACAUCAAGAUCAUUAUGUAUCAUUUGUGAAGUUGAUACAGAAUAUUUAUCAACAAGGUCUUGGUGUCUUCCGAUGAACUUUUUUUAGAAAAAGGACGAGACGCUCUUUGACAUAAUCCUGGUUCAUCAACUUUCUGCUCAGGCACUGGUGACGUUUUAUAAAGUCUGAGUAGCAGCUGCAAGCUUUUGAAUACCGAAUGACUUGGGAAAUAUAUAUCCCAUAUGCAGGUGAAGUUCGUAUAUUGCUACUAAGGUUAAAGAAAUUGAUAAUUUCAAAUUAAAAUCGUCUCGUUUGUCAUAGAUUCUGGUACAAAGAUGACUGCUUAUGUCAAAUUCGAGAUAUAAGUCUAAAAAUGAGGCGGAGGAAGCCGUGUCUGUUGUUUCAGGAGGAUAUAUUAAUGGAACCCAAUCAGAAAAAAAUGGAUUGUUUUUUUUUGUUUGUUUUUUUUUUUUAUUCAACAAUAACUAAUUGCACUUUCUGCUGUUAACAAUGUACUUCACUAGUCCAGCAUUCCAGUAAAGAGUCCCUGUUUGUUAAUACCAGAAAUCCAGGGUUGUUUCUGGUAAGCAUCAUUAUAUUAAAUUAACAUUAGUUUUAAUUUAACAGCUAAUUUAUAAAAUUAUCAGCAAUGAAAUUAACAAGUAUAUAUCAAUGGUACUUAUUUGUUUAACAAUUUACUAUAUAUAUCAUCUAGCAAUAAUUGAUUUCUGGGUAUUGUUUCCGGAAAUUUUUCAUAUUUCCUCCGUAAACGGGUGAAUUGUUUUUCUAUCAAACAUCUUCCUGGUUUUGAAACAAAUAUUGUCACACCGGCCAUGACUUAAAAAAUAAAAAAUAAACAGAUGUGAUAUAGCAUAUUCACAGGUAUGUCUGAAUUAAAAAUGUUCUGUAGUAUAAGGAAGAUUAAGAUUAAAUAAAUAUUUCAUUUUUUAAUCUUCUUUUUGUAACGGUAAAUAGUCUCGUUAUCAAUCAUUUGUUUGUCAAUCAUCACAUGUACAUGUACAGUAGCGGUGAAAGGUAAAAUUUAUAUUACUUGAUCAGUUCCAGAUGUGUAAUUCGUAAAAUUUAUGUCUUUUAUUAAUUUAUUCAUCCAUUUAUUUUUGCUAGAUCAUAUACUUCUCAAACAAAGAAAUUAUUUUAACAAUUUGGCAGUUUUAUCUAGAAUACAUUUAUAUUUUGUAUUCUUACAUUUUGCCUGCAGUUUGUAACUAUACAUAAAUUCUGCUUUAAAUACAGCAUACACAUUUAUAGAUUCUGUUUUCUGUUCAGACAUGUAAUUAGCUUUAUAUAUACAAAACAUUAUUAAUGUAAUCAAAUAAUUGAUUUCAUAAUAUUGUUCAUCAUUAAUUUUAUAACCGAAUACUAAAUUCUUCAAUGUUAGAAUAUUAUUAUCAAUAUUCAGUUUUUCAAGAAGAUUUUUUAUUUUACUUAAGAAGUCAUCAAGAAAGUGACAUUUCAGAAACAUAUGAUCAUAAUCCUCAGUGAUAUUGCAAUAAUGACAAUUUGAAGUAUUGCAGAUAUUCCACUGUUUUAAUAAAGUUUUACAAGGUAGAAUAAAGUGUAACAGUUUCCAACGAAACACUUUAUACUUAUUUUCUUUCAAAUAAUGAUGAACAAAUUUUAAUAUAUUACAUGUUGAACUAUGAAUAAACUCAAUGUUUAACACUGUUUUCCAUCGGUUAAAACCAACAGGCAUUUCAAUCUCAUUCUGAAUAAAUAUAUUAUAAAUUUUUUUAGUGUCUAAAUUUUCUAAUUUUUCUAUAUAAUUACAAUUAUUCUAAAUGUAUAAAACAUAAUUUGUUUUUACUUUAGUUUUCUUUGAAUUUUCUUGUUGUAAAAUAUUAGGCCAUUCUUUUGGAAAGGCUUUCUUCAAUUGAGAAAAUUCUGACAUCCAAUUAUAUUUAAUCCUGAGCUUUUGCAAAAUAUGUUUCUCCAAUAUGUUACCAUUUUCAUCUAUAAUGUCGUUUAGAUAGAUGAUAUUGCUAUUUAUCCAGUUUUGAAAUAAAAGACUUUUUUUUUUA